Molecule: ribosomal RNA, 433 nt
Filed under: uncultured bacterium
Lineage: Bacteria
Description: partial 16S ribosomal RNA
Rfam family: Bacterial small subunit ribosomal RNA
Source: RNAcentral
AACGAACGCUGUCGGCAUGCCGAACACAUGCAAGUCGAACGAUACCUUCGGGUCUAGUGGCGCACGGGUUCGUAACGCGUGGGAACCUGCCCUUAGGUUCGGGAUAACUCCCCGAAAGGGGUGCUAAUACCGGAUAAUGUCUUCGGACCAAAGAUUUAUCGCCUUUGGUUGGUCCCGCGUUGGAUUAGCUAGUUGGUAGAGUAACAGCCUACCAAGGCGACGAUACAUAGCGGGUCUCAGAGGAUGAUCAGCCACACUGGGACUAUGACACGGCCCACACUCGUACGCAAAGAAGGCGCGGGGCAUACCGGACAACGGGCGCACGGCUGAUCGAGCUAGGCCGCGGGAGUCAUGAAGAACUUCGGGUUGUAAAGCUCUCUUACCCGCGCUGACAAUGACGGUACCGGGAGACUAAGCGCCGGCUCACCCAGUG